UACAGAGGUCUCAAGCGUUGUUCGGAAUCACUGGGCGUAAAGGGUGCGUAGGCCGCACGGUAAGUCAGGUGUGAAAGCCCGGAGCUCAACUCCGGAAUUGCACCCGAUACUGCCGUGCUUGAGGACUGGAGAGGAGAUUGGAAUUCGCAGUGGAGCGGUGAAAUGCGUAGAUAUUGUGAGGAACACUAGUGGCGAAGGCGAAUCUCUGGACAGUUCCUGACGCUGAGGCACGAAGGCCAGGGGAGCAAACGGG
Molecule: ribosomal RNA, 253 nt
Filed under: uncultured bacterium
Lineage: Bacteria
Description: partial 16S ribosomal RNA
Rfam family: Bacterial small subunit ribosomal RNA
Source: RNAcentral